AUAUCAAUAAGCGGAGGAAAAGAAACUAACAAGGAUUCCCCUAGUAACGGCGAGUGAAGCGGGAAGAGCUCAAGCUUAAAAUCUCUGCGCAAGUUUUGCGCGGCGAAUUGUAGUCUAUAGACGCGGCAUCAGUGCGGCCAUUCGGGGUAAGUUCCUUGGGAGAGGACAGCAAUGAGGGUGAUACUCCCGUUUGUACCCGAGUGUGUUGCACGUACGAUGCGUGUUCUUUGAGUCGCGUUGUUUGGGAAUGCAGCGCAAAGUAGGUGGUAAAUUCCAUCUAAAGCUAAAUAUCUACGAGACCGAUAGCGCACAAGUA
Molecule: ribosomal RNA, 316 nt
Filed under: uncultured Phytophthora
Lineage: Eukaryota; Oomycota; Peronosporomycetes; Peronosporales; Peronosporaceae
Description: partial large subunit ribosomal RNA
Rfam family: Eukaryotic large subunit ribosomal RNA
Source: RNAcentral